This is a transfer RNA of Camelus ferus (Wild Bactrian camel), 72 nucleotides long. It matches the Rfam family "tRNA". Rfam says of the family: Transfer RNA (tRNA) molecules are approximately 80 nucleotides in length. Their secondary structure includes four short double-helical elements and three loops (D, anti-codon, and T loops). The record is from Rfam. NCBI's taxonomy places the organism in Eukaryota, Metazoa, Chordata, Mammalia, Artiodactyla, Camelidae.
GUGGGUACAGCUCAGCGGUAGAGCACCUGUUUAGCAUGCAUGAGGUCCUGGAUUCAAUCCCUAGUACCUCCA